RNAcentral lists this ribosomal RNA (1369 nucleotides) under uncultured bacterium. Its description in RNAcentral is "bacterial SSU rRNA". It matches the Rfam family "Bacterial small subunit ribosomal RNA", at positions 32 to 1398 of the family's 1533-position model. The record is from RNAcentral.
AACGCUGGCGGCGUUGCUUAACACAUGCAAGUUCAACGAAUGAAACCUAGCUUUGCUAGGUGGAUUAUUGGCGAACGGGUUGAGUAAUACGUUGAGUCGACCUACCUUUUGACUCUGGGAUAAGCCUGGGAAACUGGGUCUAAUACCGGAUACGACCAAUCUCCGCAUGGGGUGUUUGGUGGAAAGCGUUAUGGAGUGGUUUUAGAUGGGCUCACGGCCUAUCAGCUUGUUGGUGAGGUAAUGGCUUACCAAGGCGACGACGGGUAGCCGGCCUGAGAGGGUGACCGGCCACACUGGGACUGAGACACGGCCCAGACUCCUACGGGAGGCAGCAGUGGGGAAUAUUGCACAAUGGGCGCAAGCCUGAUGCAGCGACGCCGCGUGAGGGAUGACGGCCUUCGGGUUGUAAACCUCUGUUAGCAUCGAAGAAGCGAAAGUGACGGUAGGUGCAGAGAAAGCGCCGGCUAACUACGUGCCAGCAGCCGCGGUAAUACGUAGGGCGCGAGCGUUGUCCGGAAUUAUUGGGCGUAAAGAGCUUGUAGGGCGGUUGGUCGCGUCUGCUGUGAAAGGCUGGGGCUUAACCCUGGUUUUGCAGUGGGUACGGGCUAACUAGAGUGCAGUAGGGGAGACUGGAAUUCCUGGUGUAGCGGUGGAGUGCGCAGAUAUCAGGAGGAACACCGAUGGCGAAGGCAGGUCUCUGGGCUGUAACUGACGCUGAGAAGCGAAAGCAUGGGGAGCGAACAGGAUUAGAUACCCUGGUAGUCCAUGCCGUAAACGUUGGGCACUAGGUGUGGGGGACAUUCCACGUUUUCCGCGCCGUAGCUAACGCAUUAAGUGCCCCGCCUGGGGAGUACGGCCGCAAGGCUAAAACUCAAAGAAAUUGACGGGGGCCCGCACAAGCGGCGGAGCAUGCGGAUUAAUUCGAUGCAACGCGAAGAACCUUACCAAGGCUUGACAUAUACUGGACUGCGUCAGAGAUGGCGUUUCCCUUCGGGGCUGGUAUACAGGUGGUGCAUGGUUGUCGUCAGCUCGUGUCGUGAGAUGUUGGGUUAAGUCCCGCAACGAGCGCAACCCUCGUUCUAUGUUGCCAGCACGUGAUGGUGGGGACUCAUAGGAGACUGCCGGGGUCAACUCGGAGGAAGGUGGGGAUGACGUCAAAUCAUCAUGCCCCUUAUGUCUUGGGCUUCACGCAUGCUACAAUGGCCGGUACAGAGGGUUGCGAUACUGUGAGGUGGAGCUAAUCCCUAAAAGCCGGUCUCAGUUCGGAUUGGGGUCUGCAACUCGACCCCAUGAAGUCGGAGUCGCUAGUAAUCGCAGAUCAGCAACGCUGCGGUGAAUACGUUCCCGGGCCUUGUACACACCGCCCGUC